Molecule: transfer RNA, 74 nt
Filed under: Bacteroidales bacterium
Lineage: Bacteria; Pseudomonadati; Bacteroidota; Bacteroidia; Bacteroidales
Also listed under: 3 other names
Description: tRNA-Ala
Rfam family: tRNA
About the family: Transfer RNA (tRNA) molecules are approximately 80 nucleotides in length. Their secondary structure includes four short double-helical elements and three loops (D, anti-codon, and T loops).
Source: RNAcentral
GGGGGUAUAGCUCAGUUGGCUAGAGCGUUUGACUGGCAGUCAAGAGGUCAGGGGUUCGAUUCCCCUUACCUCCA